AUGUAUUAUAUUUUAGCGCCUUUGACAAUGCGUGUGUUUGUGUUUAAAACUGGACAGAUAAUCUGGAGUGGCAGAAAUCAAGAGGGUGCUGGCACAACUGCAGGAGAAGAGGUUGAAAUGGUGAACAGCUACCUUUCUCGUUGUGGCCUCACAACCAAGUACAUGACCAAAUCUGCCAGGAAUGACAUGCUGACCAUACAUGCCAUUGAGUGGAACAAGCGGAAGCAAGAUGGUCUACAUCUUGCUUUGUCUUGCAGAUAUGUCAAGACACUGCAAAAGGCUGAGGCUGCGUCUCAGAAAUUAAGUGAUUUGUGCAGUGACCUUGACUGCCCUGAGGACAUGGUGCACCAUUGGGUAGAGGACGUGAGACAGUGGGCGAAGGCUGGUAAAGUUUUUUCUUAACAUUUUUCUAUGUAGUUUCAGACUUAGACUUCACUACUUAGACUUCACUACUGUAUCAAAUAAGCAUGAAAAAAAUAAAUAAAAAUGCUAUGAAAAAGCUUGUGGUAGAAUUGAAAUUUGCAAUCAAAUAUUGCCAGAUGCUGUAAAUCCCCUUACCAGAGGGCAGCAGAAAGAACUGUGACUAUAGGUGGGUGUUUUCUGAUGUUGAGGGCCCUGGUCUGACAGCAUCUGUUCUCAAGUGUAGUAGUUUUUCAAAUUUUCUGUGGUUGUAGUAAUAAUCAUGAGAGGUUGGGUGCAUUCACACUGGUUUAGCUUGAAUGAAACAGAGUUCAUUUGUAAGGUCUUGGUCUGUCCCUGUUUGAAAGACCAAAUAACUGGACUUUGACUUGAACCCUCGAGGGCAAUGGUAAGGGGAAAAAAAAAGUGUGUCAUAAAAAUGACAAUACCGAAGUGAUUUUCCAUGCCAUCACUUCAGAUGACAAUCAAACUAGAUUCAGCAGUGUAUUUAAAUUGCCUCCCUCAUGAUGUAAUGUUUUU
This 939-nucleotide long non-coding RNA is filed under the name Gadus morhua (Atlantic cod). RNAcentral describes it as "lncRNA (ENSGMOG00000027604.1)". The record is from RNAcentral. Lineage: Eukaryota; Metazoa; Chordata; Actinopteri; Gadiformes; Gadidae.